UCCUACGGGGGGCUGCAGCUAAGAAUAUUCCGCAAUGGACGAAAGUCUGACGGAGCGACGCCGCGUGGAUGAGGAAGGCCGAAAGGUUGUAAAGUCCUUUUGCCGAUGAAGAAUAAGGGUGGGAGGGAAUGCCUGCCUGAUGACGUUAGUCGGCGAAUAAGCCCCGGCUAAUUACGUGCCAGCAGCCGCGGUAACACGUAAGGGGCGAGCGUUGUUCGGAAUUAUUGGGCGUAAAGGGUACGUAGGCGGUUACGCAAGCCCGGCGUGAAAUCCUGCAGCUUAACUGUAGAGCUGCGCUGGGAACUGCGAAACUUGAGUCAUGGAAGGGAAGUUAGAAUUCCAGGUGUAGGGGUGAAAUCUGUAGAUAUCUGGAAGAAUACCGGUGGCGAAGGCGAACUUCUGGCCAAUGACUGACGCUGAGGUACGAAAGUGCGGGGAGCAAACAGGAUUAGAUACCCUUGUAGUCU
RNAcentral lists this ribosomal RNA (467 nucleotides) under uncultured Treponema sp. RNAcentral's name for it is "bacterial SSU rRNA". It matches the Rfam family "Bacterial small subunit ribosomal RNA", at positions 337 to 796 of the family's 1533-position model. The record is from RNAcentral. Lineage: Bacteria; Pseudomonadati; Spirochaetota; Spirochaetia; Treponematales; Treponemataceae.